CUGCUGCCUCCCGUAGGAGUCUGGUCCGUGUCUCAGUACCAGUGUGGGGGACCUUCCUCUCAGAACCCCUACGCAUCGUCGCCUCGGUAGGCCGUUACCCCGCCGACUAGCUAAUGCGACGCAUGGCCAUCCUAUGCCGGAGUCGCCUCCUUUGACCCCCUGGAGAUGUCUCCAGAUGGUGUUAUGCGGUAUUAGACGGAAUUUCUUCCGCUUAUCCCCCUGCAUAGGGCAGGUCCCAUACGUGUUACUCA
Molecule: ribosomal RNA, 251 nt
Filed under: uncultured bacterium
Lineage: Bacteria
Description: partial 16S ribosomal RNA
Source: RNAcentral